GCUUCAGUGGUGCAUAGGCUAAAAUUGGAACAAUAAAAGACCAGCAUGGCCUCUAAGCAAAGAUAACAUGUAGAUUACUGUGAGGCAUUUCAAAGUUUG
This 99-nucleotide small nuclear RNA is filed under the name Mus caroli (Ryukyu mouse). Lineage: Eukaryota; Metazoa; Chordata; Mammalia; Rodentia; Muridae. The record is from RNAcentral.